AGCAGCCGCGGUAAUUCCAGCUCCAAUAGCGUAUAUUAAAGUUGUUGCAGUUAAAAGCUCGUAGUUGAAUUUCGGGGUUAGUAGGUUGGUCAUGCCUCUGGUAUGUACUGGUCUCACUGAUUCCUCCUUCCUGAUGAACCUUAAUGCCAUUAAUUUGGUGUUUUGGGGAAUUUGGACUGUUACUUUGAAAAAAUUAGAGUGUUUAAAGCAAGCUAACGCUUGAAUACAUUAGCAUGGAAUAAUGAAAUAGGACGUUCGAUCCUAUUUUGUUGGUUUCUAGGAUUGACGUAAUGAUUAAUAGGGAUAGUUGGGGGCAUUAGUAUUCAAUUGUCAGAGGUGAAAUUCUUGGAUUUAUUGAAGACUAACUACUGCGAAAGCAUUUGCCAAGGAUGUUUUCAUUAAUCAAGAACGAAAGUUAGGGGAUCGAAGACGAUCAGAUACCGUCGUAGUCUUAACCAUAAACUAUGCCGACUAGGGAUCGGAUGAUGUUAAUUUUUUAAUGACUCAUUCGGCGCCUUAC
Molecule: small RNA, 520 nt
Filed under: uncultured Glomus
Lineage: Eukaryota; Fungi; Glomeromycota; Glomeromycetes; Glomerales; Glomeraceae
Description: SSU rRNA
Rfam family: Eukaryotic small subunit ribosomal RNA
Source: RNAcentral